RNAcentral lists this long non-coding RNA (380 nucleotides) under Capsella rubella. Its description in RNAcentral is "long non-coding RNA (CRUB_LNC002538)". Lineage: Eukaryota; Viridiplantae; Streptophyta; Magnoliopsida; Brassicales; Brassicaceae. The record is from RNAcentral.
AAAAUCAAAUUCACCAAUUGGGAGAAGAAACCCUAGAAUUAGAUCAUAUAUUUCAUCAUCUAAAAUGAAUUCAUACCCCUCAGAAUCACAAAAACAAACGCAUUCACUUGAUUCUACAAAACCCAGCAACAAAGUGAGAUCAACAAAGAGGAGAGUCUCUUCAAAAAAGGAGAAAGAAAAGUGUCACCUCGGAGAAGAAGAAGAAGAAAAUAUGUUUUUUCUUCUUUUUUUUUAAAGAUUAUUAAUAGUCAUCUGCCACAUCACCCUUAAGAAGAAGAAGAAGGCACCAAAAAAUCAGAAGGGAAUCUGGGCCUUUUGUGUCUGGUUGGCUGGUCACGAUCGAGUAUCAACGGGGGAUCAUAUGCUACGCUGGGAUCGGG